Molecule: transfer RNA, 78 nt
Filed under: Serratia marcescens
Lineage: Bacteria; Pseudomonadati; Pseudomonadota; Gammaproteobacteria; Enterobacterales; Yersiniaceae
Description: tRNA-Ser
Rfam family: tRNA
About the family: Transfer RNA (tRNA) molecules are approximately 80 nucleotides in length.
Source: RNAcentral
GGAAGGAUGGCCGAGUGGUUUAAGGCAACGAUCUUGAAAACCGUCGAGUGUAGAGUUCGAAUCUCUGUCCUUCCGCCA